GAUGAACGCUGGCGGCGUGCCUAAUACAUGCAAGUCGAGCGAACAGAUGAGGAGCUUGCUCCUCUGACGUUAGCGGCGGACGGGUGAGUAACACGUGGAUAACCUACCUAUAAGACUGGGAUAACUUCGGGAAACCGGAGCUAAUACCGGAUAAUAUAUUGAACCGCAUGGUUCAAUAGUGAAAGACGGUUUUGCUGUCACUUAUAGAUGGAUCCGCGCCGCAUUAGCUAGUUGGUAAGGUAACGGCUUACCAAGGCAACGAUGCGUAGCCGACCUGAGAGGGUGAUCGGCCACAUUGGAACUGAGACACGGUCCAGAGUCCUACGGGAGGCAGCAGUAGGGAAUCUUCCGCAAUGGGCGAGAGCCUGACGGAGCAACGCCGCGUGAGUGAUGAAGGUCUUCGGAUCGUAAAACUCUGUUAUUAGGGAAGAACAAAUGUGUAAGUAACUAUGCACGUCUUGACGGUACCUAAUCAGAAAGCCACGGCUAACUACGUG
Molecule: ribosomal RNA, 497 nt
Filed under: uncultured bacterium
Lineage: Bacteria
Description: partial 16S ribosomal RNA
Rfam family: Bacterial small subunit ribosomal RNA
Source: RNAcentral